Molecule: long non-coding RNA, 238 nt
Organism: Cervus elaphus (red deer)
Lineage: Eukaryota; Metazoa; Chordata; Mammalia; Artiodactyla; Cervidae
Exons: 3
Source: RefSeq, a predicted model, not a curated record
UGGCAUCUUUUGCAUUGGUAGGCGGAUUCUUCACCACUGCACCAUUGGAAAAGACCAGGGAAGUGAAGAAGUUCACUGUCAGUCCUUGGGCAAAGUCACGUCCUUGGUUCAAAGUCACUGCCUUGGGCAGGGAGAAAAAUGUCACCUGGGAGAAAUCAGGACCACAGAUCUACAUCAUACAAGGGCUGCACCACACAGUUUGCAGGAUCUUUGUUCCCUAACCAGGAAUUGAACCCAU